RNAcentral lists this long non-coding RNA (878 nucleotides) under Theobroma cacao (cacao). RNAcentral's name for it is "long non-coding RNA (TCAC_LNC000227)". Lineage: Eukaryota; Viridiplantae; Streptophyta; Magnoliopsida; Malvales; Malvaceae. The record is from RNAcentral.
CGGUUAGUUUGAGUCCGGGAAGAUCCGACCCGAAAUCUCCAGAACUCCUGCAAGUUCAACCUUCUUUGUCUCCGGAGAGGAUUUUAGCUGACUCACCAAGAGUUUCGAAUGCGUCCAAUGGAAAUGCACAAUCUCCCUCGCUGACUUUAACUUCUACAUCACCGGAUAGGGUGUUUGUAAAAGAAUCAGAUGAUCAGAGGGUGCAUUCUCCUUCCUUGUCUCCGAUAUUGGUCGAGAACCCAAAUUCAUCUGUUGUCCCGGAUCGUAAUAUGGGGUCACCUUCGCUGUCUUCGGCUACAACUUCACCAAAUAGAGUGUUGAUAGAGAAGCUAGAUGCAUCUAUUAGGAAUUUUAAUGAUUUGGUUCAGAAUAUGAGGACUCCGUUGAUUAUAUCUUCAGCCGCUACUAGUUCACCGGCUAAAGAACCUCCAAUAAAUGAUCUGGCUCGAUACGAGACAAGGUCUCCGUCAGCUUGUUCAACUUCUACUUCACCUGAUAGAAACGUGGCAAACAAUCUAAGUAAAUUCCCGAGAAUGGUGAAUGAUAUGGGUCGAAAUGUAGUACGGUCUCCUUUACUGACGUCAGCCUCUACAUCCCCAGACAGAGCUUUGAACGAGAGUGAACAGUCUCCUUUACUAUCAUCGGCUUCGUCAUCACCAGACAGAGCUUUCGAGAAAAGCCCAGAGAUGUCUUCUUCACCUGAUAGAAACGUGGUAAACAAUCUGAGUGAAUUCCCGGGAAUGGUUAAUGAUAUGGGUCGAAAUGUUGUACGGUCUCCUUUACUGUCGUCAGCUUCUACAUCCCCAGGCAGAGCUUUGAACGAGAAUGAGCGGUCUCCUUUGCUAUCAUCGGCUUCGUCAUCACCAGACAGAGCUUUC